RNAcentral lists this ribosomal RNA (450 nucleotides) under uncultured bacterium. RNAcentral describes it as "partial 16S ribosomal RNA". It matches the Rfam family "Bacterial small subunit ribosomal RNA", at positions 354 to 796 of the family's 1533-position model. The record is from RNAcentral.
GUGGGGAAUAUUGGACAAUGGGCGAAAGCCUGAUCCAGCCAUGCCGCGUGUGUGAAGAAGGUCUUCGGAUUGUAAAGCACUUUAAGUUGGGAGGAAGGGCAGUAAGUUAAUACCUUGCUGUUUUGACGUUACCGACAGAAUAAGCACCGGCUAACUUCGUGCCAGCAGCCGCGGUAAUACGAAGGGUGCAAGCGUUAAUCGGAAUUACUGGGCGUAAAGCGCGCGUAGGUGGUUUUGUAAGUUGGAGGUGAAAUCCCCGGGCUCAACCUGGGAACUGCAUCCAAAAUUGCAUGACUAGAGUACGGUAGAGGGUAGUGGAAUUUCCUGUGUAGCGGUGAAAUGCGUAGAUAUAGGAAGGAACACCAGUGGCGAAGGCGACUACCUGGACUGAUACUGACACUGAGGUGCGAAAGCGUGGGGAGCAAACAGGAUUAGAAACCCUGGUAGUCC